This 497-nucleotide ribosomal RNA is filed under the name uncultured bacterium. RNAcentral's name for it is "partial 16S ribosomal RNA". It matches the Rfam family "Bacterial small subunit ribosomal RNA", at positions 28 to 507 of the family's 1533-position model. The record is from RNAcentral.
GAUGAACGCUGGCGGCGUGCCUAAUACAUGCAAGUCGAGCGAACAGAUGAGGAGCUUGCUCUUCUGACGUUAGCGGCGGACGGGUGAGUAACACGUGGAUAACCUACCUAUAAGACUGGGAUAACUUCGGGAAACCGGAGCUAAUACCGCAUAAUAUAUUGUACCGCAUGGUUCAAUAGUGAAAGACGGUUUUGCUGUACCUUAUAGAUGGAUUCGAGCCGCAUUAGCAAGUUGGUAAGGUAACGGCGUACUAAGGCAAGGAUCAGUAGCCGACCUGGGAGGGUGAUCGGCCACACUGGAACUGAGACACGGUCCGAACUCCUACGGGAGGCAGCAGUAGGGAAUCUUCCGAAAGGGGCGAAAGCCUGACGGAGCAACGCCGCGUGAGUGAUGAAGGUCUUCGGAUCGUAAAACCUUGUGAUUAGGGAAGAACAAAUGUGGAAGUAACUAUGCACGUCGUGACGGUACCUAAUCAGAAAGCCACGGCUAACUACGUG